Molecule: ribosomal RNA, 468 nt
Filed under: uncultured bacterium
Lineage: Bacteria
Description: partial 16S ribosomal RNA
Rfam family: Bacterial small subunit ribosomal RNA
Source: RNAcentral
GACGAACGCUGGCGGCGUGCUUAACACAUGCAAGUCGAACGGAAAGGCCCUGCUUUUGUGGGGUGCUCGAGUGGCGAACGGGUGAGUAACACGUGAGUAACCUGCCCUUGACUUUGGGAUAACUUCAGGAAACUGGGGCUAAUACCGGAUAGGAGCUCCUGCUGCAUGGUGGGGGUUGGAAAGUUUCGGCGGUUGGGGAUGGACUCGCGGCUUAUCAGCUUGUUGGUGGGGUAGUGGCUUACCAAGGCUUUGACGGGUAGCCGGCCUGAGAGGGUGACCGGCCACAUGGGGACUGAGAUACGGCCCAGACUCCUAUGGGAGGCAGCAGUGGGGAAUAUUGCACAAUGGGCGGAAGCCUGAUGCAGCAACGCCGCGUGCGGGAUGACGGCCUUCGGGUUGUAAACCGCUUUCGCCUGUGACGAAGCGUGAGUGACGGUAAUGGGUAAAGAAGCACCGGCUAACUACGUG